UUCGUGUGAAAAUAUCAUAUUUUAACACUAACACGUGAAAUAUCAGUUUCUACUUGGAAAGAGUAAUCAUAAAUUCAUCAACUAUUUAUAAGGCCACAAAACUAGAGAAUGAUAAUUAAGCAUGUAAGAAAUAACAUACCGCUUCUUAUGCCGUUUUGUCUUGAAAUGUUCAUCUCUCAGUCACAUUCGCAAAGUAACGACUGCAAAUCAACCAAAGGAAGACAUAAUUAGAUGCAUACGAAUUCACACACAUACGCACGCACAUAUAAAUAUAUAAUUAAAUAAUUAUUAAUCGCAGUGUAAGCAGUAGAAUUGGCCCAUCCCAGGAAGAUCUUCAUCAACAGGCAAGGACUUAAUCUCCACGUCUGGUUUUUGAAGCUCAUCAUAAACAGCAUCGUCACGUGAACAAAAGGAUACAGAGUCAAGAAAAUACCAAAAAAAUCGAAAAUUGAACUCUAUAAAAGUAAAUAAAGGAGAGAAAUUGAGGACAAAAUAUAUAAACAGUGGAAAAGUAAGAAAAAGGAUAUCUUUAAUGAGGAAUUUAGAGCGACGAAAUUGCUUGUGAGAGUAUCUCCUUUUCUGUACCCUUCUGUGCGGGCACUUUCCUCCCAUUUUUUUCCAGAUUAGGGUUUUUUUUUUUUGCGUGAUUUUGUAAAACCCUAAAAUUGAAGAUAGAAUAUUUGUUUGGUUUUUCUUUGUUUAUUAAGGGUUUUGCCGUUUUUGGUAUUGGUUCGGGUCUAUAUUAGUCAGUAAGCCACCAUCCAGUACCCGUCACCCAAGCCCGAUUAAAACGAAAGACAUACUUUGCCCGGCUUAGGUACAUCUCCCUUCCACUGUUCCACAAUAUCUAAC
Molecule: long non-coding RNA, 852 nt
Filed under: Panax ginseng (ginseng)
Lineage: Eukaryota; Viridiplantae; Streptophyta; Magnoliopsida; Apiales; Araliaceae
Description: long non-coding RNA (PGIN_LNC011571)
Source: RNAcentral